AUUCUGCCCAAGCGGGGAAGGAUGAGAAGCUUCGACCAAGGUUCGACUUGAGCGCCAGCGAGAGAGCGUUGCCGCAGGCAACGACCCGAAGGGCGAAGCGCGCAGCGCUGAGUAAUCCUUCCCCCACCAUCA
RNAcentral lists this small RNA (132 nucleotides) under Escherichia coli. Its description in RNAcentral is "RtT sRNA". It matches the Rfam family "RtT RNA". Rfam says of the family: This family represents a bacterial cis-regulatory element known as RtT RNA. The exact function of RtT is unknown although it is thought that it may be involved in changing the cellular response in relation to amino acid starvation. The record is from RNAcentral. Lineage: Bacteria; Pseudomonadati; Pseudomonadota; Gammaproteobacteria; Enterobacterales; Enterobacteriaceae.